RNAcentral lists this ribosomal RNA (480 nucleotides) under uncultured bacterium. RNAcentral's name for it is "bacterial SSU rRNA". It matches the Rfam family "Bacterial small subunit ribosomal RNA", at positions 9 to 507 of the family's 1533-position model. The record is from RNAcentral.
CGAGUUUGAUCAUGGCUCAGAUUGAACGCUGGCGGCAUGCCUUACACAUGCAAGUCGAACGGCAGCACGGGAGCAAUCCUGGGUGGCGAGUGGCGAACGGGUGAGUAAUAUAUCGGAACGUGCCCAGUCGUGGGGAUACGUAGCGAAAGUUACGCUAAUACCGCAUACGAUCUACGGAUGAAAGCGGGGGACUCGCAAGAGCCUCGCGCGAUUGGAGCGGCCGAUAUCAGAUUAGGUAGUUGGUGGGGUAAAGGCUCACCAAGCCAACGAUCUGUAGCUGGUCUGAGAGGAUGAUCAGCCACACUGGGACUGAGACACGGCCCAGACUCCUACGGGAGGCAGCAGUGGGGAAUAUUGGACAAUGGGCGAAAGCCUGAUCCAGCAAUGCCGCGUGAGUGAUGAAGGCCUUCGGGUUGUAAAGCUCUUUUACUCGGGACGAUAAUGACGGUACCGAGAGAAUAAGCCCCGGCUAACUCCGUG